GGAAGGAUCAUAUCGAAUAAACUUGAACAGGCUGUUGCUGGCUUCCUCCCAACUGGGGGGAGGUGUGUGCACGCUUGUCAUCUUUAUCUUCUCCAACUGUGCACCUUUUGUAGACCUGGAGGUUUUUUGAUUUGCUCGAUUGAGGAUUUGCUGUGCUUUGAAAAAAGUCGGCUUGCCUUGCAUUUCCAGGUCUAUGCUAUUUUUCACAACCUCUUGUUCAGAAUGUUGAAAUUGGGUAUCAUCUUGUACCUAUAUAAAGUUGAAUAUACAACUUUCAGCAACGGAUCUCUUGGCUCUCGCAUCGAUGAAGAACGCAGCGAAAUGCGAUAAGUAAUGUGAAUUGCAGAAUUCAGUGAAUCAUCGAAUCUUUGAACGCAUCUUGCGCUCCUUGGUAUUCCGAGGAGCAUGCCUGUUUGAGUGUCAUUUAACUUCUCAACCACAAUCAAUUUCUUUGGUCGUGGCUUGGAUGAUGGGGGUUUUAUUUUUUUGCAGGCUUUGGAAACAAGGUCUGCUCCCCUGAAAUGCAUUAGUGGUAUCUGAGCAGUAACUACUACAGGUGUGAUAAUUUAUCUAUGCCUUUGGUUACCACUGCGUGAACAGAUUACACUGCUUCUGAAAUCAUGUUUUGACAAAUUUGACCUCAAAUCAGGUAGGACUACCCGCUGAACUUAAGCAUAUCAAUAAGCGGAGGAA
This 693-nucleotide unclassified non-coding RNA is filed under the name uncultured Inocybe. Its description in RNAcentral is "sequence contains ITS1, 5.8S rRNA gene, ITS2". The stretch from base 270 to 423 matches the Rfam family "5.8S ribosomal RNA". The record is from RNAcentral. Lineage: Eukaryota; Fungi; Basidiomycota; Agaricomycetes; Agaricales; Cortinariaceae.